RNAcentral lists this ribosomal RNA (627 nucleotides) under uncultured cyanobacterium. RNAcentral's name for it is "bacterial SSU rRNA". It matches the Rfam family "Bacterial small subunit ribosomal RNA", at positions 312 to 953 of the family's 1533-position model. The record is from RNAcentral. Lineage: Bacteria; Bacillati; Cyanobacteriota.
ACUGGGACUGAGACACGGCCCAGACUCCUACGGGAGGCAGCAGUGGGGAAUUUUCCGCAAUGGGCGCAAGCCUGACGGAGCAAUACCGCGUGAGGGAGGAGGGCCUUUGGGUUGUAAACCUCUUUUCUUAAGGAAGAAGAUCUGACGGUACUUAAGGAAUCAGCAUCGGCUAACUCCGUGCCAGCAGCCGCGGUAAUACGGAGGAUGCAAGCGUUAUCCGGAAUUAUUGGGCGUAAAGCGUCCGCAGGCGGCAUUAUAAGUCUGCUGUCAAAGACCGCAGCUCAACUGCGGAAAGGCAGUGGAUACUGUAAAGCUAGAGUACGGUAGGGGUAGAGGGAAUUCCCAGUGUAGCGGUGAAAUGCGUAGAUAUUGGGAAGAACACCAGUGGCGAAAGCGCUCUACUGGGCCGUAACUGACGCUCAGGGACGAAAGCUAGGGGAGCGAAAGGGAUUAGAUACCCCUGUAGUCCUAGCUGUAAACGAUGGAUACUAGGCGUAGCUUGUAUCGACCCGAGCUGUGCCGAAGCUAACGCGUUAAGUAUCCCGCCUGGGGAGUACGCACGCAAGUGUGAAACUCAAAGGAAUUGACGGGGGCCCGCACAAGCGGUGGAGUAUGUGGUUUAAUUCG